This 87-nucleotide transfer RNA is filed under the name Candidatus Amesiibacteriota bacterium. Its description in RNAcentral is "Candidatus Amesbacteria bacterium (sediment metagenome) tRNA-Leu". It matches the Rfam family "tRNA". Rfam says of the family: Transfer RNA (tRNA) molecules are approximately 80 nucleotides in length. Their secondary structure includes four short double-helical elements and three loops (D, anti-codon, and T loops). The record is from RNAcentral. Lineage: Bacteria; Candidatus Amesiibacteriota.
GCCGCGAUGCUGGAAUGGUAGACAGGCUAGUCUCAAAAACUAGUGAUCCUAAAGAUCGUGAGAGUUCGAGUCUCUCUCGCGGCACCG